GAUGAACGCUAGCGACAGGCCUAACACAUGCAAGUCGAGGGGCAGCACAAGGAGCAAUCUGAGGUGGCGACCGGCGCACGGGUGAGUAACACGUAUGCAACCUACCUGUAAGAGGGGAAUAACCCGUUGAAAAACGGACUAAUACCGCAUAACACUGUAGAACCGCAUGGUUUGACAGUUAAACAUUUAUGGCUUACAGAUGGGCAUGCGCAUGAUUAGCUAGUUGGUGAGGUAACGGCUCACCAAGGCAACGAUCAUUAGGGGUUCUGAGAGGAAGGUCCCCCACACUGGUACUGAGACACGGACCAGACUCCUACGGGAGGCAGCAGUGAGGAAUAUUGGUCAAUGGGCGAGAGCCUGAACCAGCCAAGUCGCGUGAAGGAUGAAGGUUUUAUGAAUUGUAAGCUUCUUUUGCAGGGGAAUAAAGUGUCCGACGUGUCGGAUUUUGUAUGUACUCUGCGAAUAAGGAUCGGCUAACUCCGUG
Molecule: ribosomal RNA, 484 nt
Filed under: uncultured bacterium
Lineage: Bacteria
Description: bacterial SSU rRNA
Rfam family: Bacterial small subunit ribosomal RNA
Source: RNAcentral